Molecule: small RNA, 114 nt
Filed under: Tatumella citrea
Lineage: Bacteria; Pseudomonadati; Pseudomonadota; Gammaproteobacteria; Enterobacterales; Erwiniaceae
Description: RtT sRNA
Rfam family: RtT RNA
About the family: This family represents a bacterial cis-regulatory element known as RtT RNA. The exact function of RtT is unknown although it is thought that it may be involved in changing the cellular response in relation to amino acid starvation.
Source: RNAcentral
UACGCCUGUAGUUCGAAGAGGAUGAGAACCUCCGCAGGAGGUUUGAGCCGAACGAAGUGAGACAACGUUGCUUAAGCAACGGCCCGAAGGGGCAUCAUCCUCUCUCGCCGACCA